UACGUAGGGGGCGAGCGUUGUCCGGAAUUAUUGGGCGUAAAGAGCGUGUAGGCGGUUCGGUAAGUCUGCCGUGAAAACCUGGGGCUCAACCCCGGGCGUGCGGUGGAUACUGCCGGGCUAGAGGGUGGUAGAGGCGAGUGGAAUUCCUGGUGUAGCGGUGAAAUGCGCAGAUAUCAGGAGGAACACCGGUGGCGAAGGCGGAUCUCUGGGCCUGAUCUGACGCUGAGGCGCGAAAGCUAGGGGAGCAAACGGG
RNAcentral lists this ribosomal RNA (253 nucleotides) under uncultured bacterium. RNAcentral's name for it is "partial 16S ribosomal RNA". It matches the Rfam family "Bacterial small subunit ribosomal RNA", at positions 524 to 776 of the family's 1533-position model. The record is from RNAcentral.